GGCUCUCUCUAGUACGAGAGGAUCGAGAGGGACAGACGUCUGGUGUGCCAGUUGUUCCGCCAGGAGCAUCGCUGGGUAGCUAGGUCUGGUUAGGAUAAGCGCUGAAAGCAUCUAAAUGCGAAACCUGCCCCAAGAUAAUAUCUCCCACCUUUGUGAUUUAUCACAAGGGGUAAGACCGCAAGUAGACUACUUGUUUGAUAGGCGGUAGGUGUAAGAGCAGUAAUGUUUUUAGCUUAACCGUACUAAUGGUCGAGGGCUUGACCUG
RNAcentral lists this ribosomal RNA (265 nucleotides) under Dehalococcoidia bacterium. Its description in RNAcentral is "partial 23S ribosomal RNA". It matches the Rfam family "Bacterial large subunit ribosomal RNA", at positions 2670 to 2925 of the family's 2925-position model. The record is from RNAcentral. Lineage: Bacteria; Bacillati; Chloroflexota; Dehalococcoidia.